Non-coding RNA from Seriola aureovittata, 360 nucleotides. The record is from the annotation of a RefSeq genome assembly. Lineage: Eukaryota; Metazoa; Chordata; Actinopteri; Carangiformes; Carangidae.
AUGAUGAUGUCUCUGACUCUACUGCUGGCCACCCUGGGGCUCCUUGUUCAGGGUUCAUCAGCAGAAAUCAUCCUGACUCAGUCUCCUGGAUCUCAGUCUGUCGUUCCAGGACAGACUGUCUCUAUCAGAUGUAAAGUCAGUUCAUAUGUUGGUAACAACAUCCAAUGGUACCUUCAGAAACCUGGAGAAGCUCCUAAACUCCUGAUUUAUGAUUCUGCAACACGUCACUCUGGAGUUUCAGAUCGUUUUAGUGGACGUGGAUCUGACCCUGACUACACUCUGACCAUUAGUGGAGUUCAGAGUGGAGAUUCAGGAGUUUAUUACUGUCAGCAGGAUUACAGCUUCCCAUUCACACAGUGA